RNAcentral lists this ribosomal RNA (252 nucleotides) under uncultured bacterium. RNAcentral describes it as "partial 16S ribosomal RNA". It matches the Rfam family "Bacterial small subunit ribosomal RNA", at positions 524 to 776 of the family's 1533-position model. The record is from RNAcentral.
UACGGGGGGGCAAGCGUUGUUCGGAAUUACUGGGCGUAAAGGGCUCUUAGGCUGCCAACUAAGUCGGACGUGAAAUCCCCAGGCUCAACCUGGGAACUGCGUCCGAUACUGGAUGGCUUGAAUCCGGGAGAGGGAUGCAGAAUUCCAGGUGUAGCGGUGAAAUGCGUAGAUAUCUGGAGGAAUACCGGUGGCGAAGGCGGCAUCCUGGACCGGCAUUGACGCUGAGGAGCGAAAGCCAGGGGAGCAAACAGG